GUUCCAGAGGGGAUGUUUCACACCUGCGCUGAGAGUCAGCAGUGUGUGGACACUGGAAAAGGCUCCAGAGAGGGCAGAGGAGGGGGAAAAGGUCCCCACAUCAGGGUCAUGACCAGGUUGUCCUGAUCUGGCCCAGAUCCGUGAGGCUGGAUCCAAAAGGAGAGGCCAGCAUGGGAUGCAGCUGAGCAGGCUGCUGUCCAGUGCCUAAUAGGGCCAGGACACCUCAUCUUACCAGCAGAACAAUUAGCCUUUAUUUUGGGAAAUGAGAUUGCAGGAGCUGGCCAGGACCCAGGGCUAAAUGCAGCUUUGGAAAAGAGUUGAGAAGCUCCUGUAAAUGAGACUCAGGGAAGAAGGCUACUUCCGAGCCAGUCCUGGCAGAGAGGAACCUACCUCUGAAUGGGGCUUUUCCCUCGUGUUUUCCUUCUGGCAUCCUUCUAAUAUGACAGCAAUUAAAAGCCCUGAAAAAAAUGGAUGGAAACAAUUUGGAA
Gallus gallus (chicken) is the source of this 488-nucleotide long non-coding RNA. RefSeq lists it as uncharacterized. The record is from RefSeq and is a predicted model, not a curated record. The transcript is spliced from 4 exons. Lineage: Eukaryota; Metazoa; Chordata; Aves; Galliformes; Phasianidae.